This 554-nucleotide ribosomal RNA is filed under the name uncultured bacterium. Its description in RNAcentral is "partial 16S ribosomal RNA". It matches the Rfam family "Bacterial small subunit ribosomal RNA", at positions 355 to 900 of the family's 1533-position model. The record is from RNAcentral.
UGGGGAAUUUUGGACAAUGGGCGCAAGCCUGAUCCAGCCAUGCCGCGUGCGGGAAGAAGGCCUUCGGGUUGUAAACCGCUUUUGUCAGGGAAGAAAUCUUCUGAGUUAAUACCUCGGGAGGAUGACGGUACCUGAAGAAUAAGCACCGGCUAACUACGUGCCAGCAGCCGCGGUAAUACGUAGGGUGCAAGCGUUAAUCGGAAUUACUGGGCGUAAAGCGUGCGCAGGCGGUUUUGUAAGACAGAGGUGAAAUCCCCGGGCUCAACCUGGGAACUGCCUUUGUGACUGCAAGGCUUGAGUGCGGCAGAGGGGGAUGGAAUUCCGCGUGUAGCAGUGAAAUGCGUAGAUAUGCGGAGGAACACCGAUGGCGAAGGCAAUCCCCUGGGCCUGCACUGACGCUCAUGCACGAAAGCGUGGGGAGCAAACAGGAUUAGAUAGCCCUGGUAGUCCACGCCCUAAAACGAUGUCAACUGGUUGUUGGGAAGGUUCCUUCUCAGUAACGUAGCUAACGCGUGAAGUUGACCGCCUGGGGAGUACGGCCGCAAGGUUGAAAC